Molecule: ribosomal RNA, 492 nt
Filed under: uncultured bacterium
Lineage: Bacteria
Description: partial 16S ribosomal RNA
Rfam family: Bacterial small subunit ribosomal RNA
Source: RNAcentral
GAUGAACGCUAGCUACAGGCUUAACACAUGCAAGUCGAGGGGAAACGACAUCGAAAGCUUGCUUUUGAUGGGCGUCGACCGGCGCACGGGUGAGUAACGCGUAUCCAACCUGCCCAUCACUUGGGAAUAACCUUGCGAAAGUAAGACUAAUACCCAAUGAUAUCCCACGAAGGCAUCGGAAUGGGAUUAAAGAUUUAUCGGUGAUGGAUGGGGAUGCGUCCGAUUAGCUUGUUGGCGGGGUAACGGCCCACCAAGGCAACGAUCAGUAGGGGUUCUGAGAGGAAGGUCCCCCACAUUGGAACUGAGACACGGUCCAAACUCCUACGGGAGGCAGCAGUGAGGAAUAUUGGUCAAUGGGCGAGAGCCUGAACCAGCCAAGUAGCGUGCAGGAAGACGGCCCUAUGGGUUGUAAACUGCUUUUAUAAGGGAAUAAAGUGGGUCACGUGUGACUUUUUGCAUGUACCUUAUGAAUAAGGACCGGCUAAUUCCGUG